AUAUCUCUCCGUACGGGAAGGAUGAGAAGCUUCGACUAAGGUUCGAUUCGAGCGCAGCGAGAACGCGUUGCCGCAGGCAACGACCCGAAGGGCGAAGCGCGCAG
RNAcentral lists this small RNA (104 nucleotides) under Salmonella enterica. RNAcentral's name for it is "partial RtT sRNA". It matches the Rfam family "RtT RNA", at positions 1 to 103 of the family's 130-position model. Rfam says of the family: This family represents a bacterial cis-regulatory element known as RtT RNA. The exact function of RtT is unknown although it is thought that it may be involved in changing the cellular response in relation to amino acid starvation. RNAcentral also lists the same sequence under 1 other name. Lineage: Bacteria; Pseudomonadati; Pseudomonadota; Gammaproteobacteria; Enterobacterales; Enterobacteriaceae. The record is from RNAcentral.